GGAUUAGAUACCCUGGUAGUCCACGCCGUAAACGAUGGAUACUUGCUGUUGGGCUUUCGGGUUCAGUGGCUAAGCGAAAGUUAUAAGUAUCCCACCUGGGGAGUACGUUCGCAAGAAUGAAACUCAAAGGAAUUGACGGGGGCCCGCACAAGCGGUGGAGCAUGUGGUUUAAUUCGAUGAUACGCGAGGAACCUUACCAAGGCUUAAAUGCAAUUUGACAGAACUAGAAAUAGUUUUUUCUUCGGACAGACUGCAAGGUGCUGCAUGGCUGUCGUCAGCUCGUGCCG
This 287-nucleotide ribosomal RNA is filed under the name uncultured bacterium. RNAcentral describes it as "partial 16S ribosomal RNA". It matches the Rfam family "Bacterial small subunit ribosomal RNA", at positions 775 to 1067 of the family's 1533-position model. The record is from RNAcentral.